This 434-nucleotide ribosomal RNA is filed under the name uncultured Lachnospiraceae bacterium. RNAcentral's name for it is "partial 16S ribosomal RNA". It matches the Rfam family "Bacterial small subunit ribosomal RNA", at positions 341 to 792 of the family's 1533-position model. Lineage: Bacteria; Bacillati; Bacillota; Clostridia; Lachnospirales; Lachnospiraceae. The record is from RNAcentral.
ACGGAAGGCAGCAGUGGGGAAUAUUGCACAAUGGGGGAAACCCUGAUGCAGCAACGCCGCGUGAGUGAAGAAGUAUUUCGGUAUGUAAAGCUCUAUCAGCAGGGAAGAUAAUGACGGUACCUGACUAAGAAGCUCCGGCUAAAUACGUGCCAGCAGCCGCGGUAAUACGUAUGGAGCAAGCGUUAUCCGGAUUUACUGGGUGUAAAGGGUGUGUAGGCGGCGAAGUAAGUCAGAAGUGAAAGACCGGGGCUCAACUCCGGGGCUGCUUUUGAAACUGCAUUGCUGGAGUCCAGGAGAGGCAGGCGGAAUUCCUAGUGUAGCGGUGAAAUGCGUAGAUAUUGGGAGGAACACCAGUGGCGAAGGCGACUAACUGGACUGUAACUGACGCUGAGGCGCGAAAGUGUGGGGAGCAAACAGGAUUAGAUACCCUGGUA